RNAcentral lists this ribosomal RNA (490 nucleotides) under uncultured bacterium. Its description in RNAcentral is "partial 16S ribosomal RNA". It matches the Rfam family "Bacterial small subunit ribosomal RNA", at positions 29 to 507 of the family's 1533-position model. The record is from RNAcentral.
AGUGAACGCUGGCGGUAGGCCUAACACAUGCAAGUCGAACGGCAGCACAGGAGAGCUUGCUCUCUGGGUGGCGAGUGGCGGCCGGGUGAGGAAUACAUCGGAAUCUGCCCAGUCGUGGGGGAUAACGUAGGGAAACUUACGCUAAUACCGCAUACGACCUUCGGGUGAAAGAGGGGGAUCGCAAGACCUCUCGCGAUUGGAUGAGCCGAUGUCGGAUUAGCUAGUUGGCGGGGUAAUGGCCCACCAAGGCGACGAUCCGUAGCUGGUCUGAGAGGAUGAUCAGCCACACUGGAACUGAGACACGGUCCAGACUCCUACGGGAAGCAGCAGUGGGGAAUAUUGGACAAUGGGCGCAAGCCUGAUCCAGCCAUACCGCGUGGGUGAAGAAGGCCUUCGGGUUGUAAAGCCCUUUUGUUGGGAAAGAAAUCUUUCAGGCUAAUACCCUGGGAGGAUGACGGUACCCAAAGAAUAAGCACCGGCUAACUUCGUG